RNAcentral lists this ribosomal RNA (305 nucleotides) under uncultured bacterium. Its description in RNAcentral is "bacterial SSU rRNA". It matches the Rfam family "Bacterial small subunit ribosomal RNA", at positions 775 to 1067 of the family's 1533-position model. The record is from RNAcentral.
GGAUUAGAUACCCUGGUAGUCCACGCCGUAAACGAUGUCUACUUGGAGGUUGUGGCCUUGAGCCGUGGCUUUCGGAGCUAACGCGUUAAGUAGGCCGCCUGGGGAGUACGGUCGCAAGAUUAAAACUCAAAUGAAUUGACGGGGGCCCGCACAAGCGGUGGAGCAUGUGGUUUAAUUCGAAGCAACGCGCAGAACCUUACCAACCCUUGACAUCCUGUGCUACAUCCAGAGAACUUAGCAGAGAUGCUUUGGUGCCUUCGGGAACUCUGAGACAGGUGCUGCAUGGCUGUCGUCAGCUCGUGCCG